Molecule: transfer RNA, 33 nt
Filed under: Tetrastes bonasia vicinitas
Lineage: Eukaryota; Metazoa; Chordata; Aves; Galliformes; Phasianidae
Description: partial tRNA-Phe
Source: RNAcentral
CAGCCCUCAUAGCUUCCCCAAAGCACUGCACUG